UACAGAGGUCCCAAGCGUUGUUCGGAUUCACUGGGCGUAAAGGGUGCGCAGGUGGGUUUGCAAGUUCGAUGUGAAAGCCCCGGGCUCAACCUGGGAAUUGCAUUCGAGACUGCAUUGCUGGAGUACGGAAGAGGAAGGCGGAAUUCCCGGUGUAGCGGUGAAAUGCGUAGAUAUCUGGAGGAACACCGGUGGCAAAGGCGGCAUCCUGGACCAACACUGACGCUGAGGAGCGAAAGCGUGGGGAGCAAACAGG
This 253-nucleotide ribosomal RNA is filed under the name uncultured bacterium. RNAcentral's name for it is "partial 16S ribosomal RNA". It matches the Rfam family "Bacterial small subunit ribosomal RNA", at positions 524 to 776 of the family's 1533-position model. The record is from RNAcentral.